Molecule: transfer RNA, 61 nt
Filed under: Planorbis planorbis
Lineage: Eukaryota; Metazoa; Mollusca; Gastropoda; Planorbidae
Description: tRNA-Gln
Source: RNAcentral
AUUUUUUUAGUAAAAUUAUUAUGGGGCUUUUUGAUAACCCAGCUAAUAACAUUGAAGAAAA